This is a long non-coding RNA of Octopus sinensis (East Asian common octopus), 211 nucleotides long. RefSeq lists it as uncharacterized. The transcript has 3 exons. The record is from RefSeq and is a predicted model, not a curated record. NCBI's taxonomy places the organism in Eukaryota, Metazoa, Mollusca, Cephalopoda, Octopoda, Octopodidae.
AGAGAGAGAAAGAUAGUCGCAAUGAGUUCAAUUCCCAGACCGGGCUGUGUGUUGUGUUCUUGAGCAAGACACUUUAUUUCACACAGCUCCGGUUCACUCAUCUACAGAAAUGAAUUGCAAUAUUCACUGGUGCCAAGCUGUAUCGGAUCCUUUGCCUUUCUCUUGGACAACAUCAGUGGUGUGAAGAGGGGAGGCUGGUAUCCAUGGGCAA